This 495-nucleotide ribosomal RNA is filed under the name uncultured bacterium. Its description in RNAcentral is "partial 16S ribosomal RNA". It matches the Rfam family "Bacterial small subunit ribosomal RNA", at positions 30 to 507 of the family's 1533-position model. The record is from RNAcentral.
UGAACGCUGGCGGCGUGCCUAAUACAUGCAAGUCGAGCGAACAGACGAGGAGCUUGCUCCUCUGACGUUAGCGGCGGACGGGUGAGUAACACGUGGAUAACCUACCUAUAAGACUGGGAUAACUUCGGGAAACCGGAGCUAGUACCGGAUAAUAUAUUGAACCGCAUGGUUCAAUAGUGAAAGACGGUUUUGCUGUCACUUAUAGAUGGAUCCGCGCCGCAUUAGCUAGUUGGUAAGGUAACGGCUUACCAAGGCAACGAUGCGUAGCCGACCUGAGAGGGUGAUCGGCCACACUGGAACUGAGACACGGUCCAGACUCCUACGGGAGGCAGCAGUAGGGAAUCUUCCGCAAUGGGCGAAAGCCUGACGGAGCAACGCCGCGUGAGUGAUGAAGGUCUUCGGAUCGUAAAACUCUGUUAUUAGGGAAGAACAAAUGUGUAAGUAACUAUGCACGUCUUGACGGUACCUAAUCAGAAAGCCACGGCUAACUACGUG